This 71-nucleotide transfer RNA is filed under the name Paraulopus oblongus. RNAcentral describes it as "tRNA-Trp". It matches the Rfam family "tRNA". Rfam says of the family: Transfer RNA (tRNA) molecules are approximately 80 nucleotides in length. Their secondary structure includes four short double-helical elements and three loops (D, anti-codon, and T loops). Lineage: Eukaryota; Metazoa; Chordata; Actinopteri; Aulopiformes; Paraulopidae. The record is from RNAcentral.
AAGAGGCUUAGGUUAAAAUUAGACCAAAGGCCUUCAAAGCCUUUAGCGAGAGUGAAAUUCUCUCAGCCCCU